CCUACGGGUGGCAGCAGUGAGGAAUAUUGGUCAAUGGACGCAAGUCUGAACCAGCCAUGCCGCGUGCAGGAAGACGGCUCUAUGAGUUGUAAACUGCUUUUGUACGAGGGUAAACGCAGAUACGCGUUUCUUUCUGAAAGUAUCGUACGAAUAAGGAUGGGCUAACUCCGUGCCAGAAGCCGCGGUAAUACGGAGGAUUCAAGCGUUAUCCGGAUUUAUUGGGUUGAAAGGGUGCUUAGGCGGUCGUAUAAGUUAGAGGUGAAAUCCCGAGGCUCAACCUCUGAAUUGCCUCUGAUACUGGUCGGCUAGAGAGUAGUUGAGGUAGGCGGAAUGUAUGGUGUAGCGGUGAAAUGCUUAGAGAUCAGACAGAACACCGAUUGCGAAGGCAGCUUACCAGGCUACUUCUGACGUUGAGGCACGAAAGCGUGGGGAGCAAACAGGAUUAGAUACCCGGGUAGUC
Molecule: ribosomal RNA, 460 nt
Filed under: uncultured bacterium
Lineage: Bacteria
Description: partial 16S ribosomal RNA
Rfam family: Bacterial small subunit ribosomal RNA
Source: RNAcentral